Long non-coding RNA from Betta splendens (Siamese fighting fish), 840 nucleotides. RefSeq lists it as uncharacterized. The record is from RefSeq and is a predicted model, not a curated record. The transcript is spliced from 2 exons. Lineage: Eukaryota; Metazoa; Chordata; Actinopteri; Anabantiformes; Osphronemidae.
CAGACCUUAAAGACGAGCAGAAUGAAGAGCAGCAGCAGAAUAAUCUGAAUGCUGAUGACAAACAGCUGAGAGAAGAGGUGGGCCAGCAUCGUCUCCAAGGAGCUCACACCUGGUGGAGACAGAAGAACUCAACUCAAGAGCCGCCGCCCACCUGCGACCCAGCAUCGGUCCAGAAGCCCCUCCUUUCGCUCCAGGACGAAGGACAGCGCCGUCAGCCCCACAGCCAGGUAGAAGGUGAUGCUGGAGAGGACAGACAUGAGCCCGGCGCGUGUGCAGCAUGUGAUGCCCCCACAAACCCACAUCCACCAACACCAACCUGAGCACAGCGCCGGGCGUCACAAAGGUGGUGAAGUCGGUGUCAGCGCUGCCGUAGAUCGGCUCCUCGAACUGCAACACAGCAGCGGCGGGUUUCACUUGGACCUGGCGUGUCUGGAUCUUCUGAACACACUGCACCUCUUGUGAAAUGUGACUUUUCUUACCUUUAUUGGCAGCGCCACCAAGUACGACAUACUGCCCAGCUUGUCCUCCACAAAAGCCUGCGGACGACAUUUGAAUCAACACACAAUGGAAGAGCGACUGUGACACGGGCCACGACUGAGGCUGAUGUUGGCUUUGUCCAAAGUCACAGGACAAACUUAAAAAUUCAGUAAAAGCCGUGGGUUUAAAGACUUGACCAUUUUCAGUUAGGAAUUCUGUGUACAAACAGCACGACUCAUGUUUGUACCUGAAAGGCUUCGUGAAGUUUCUUCUGCAGCAUCAGGGCAAUUUGUCGAUCUGGAAAAAGAAAAACAUUCCAAAUGCAUCAAAUCCGCCUCCUGGAUUAAAAGAAUUAUGAAAGAU